UACGUAGGGUGCGAGCGUUAAUCGGAAUUACUGGGCGUAAAGCGUGCGUAGGCGGUUCGUUAUGUCUGCUGUGAAAUCCCCGGGCUCAACCUGGGAAUGGCAGUGGAAACUGGCGGGCUUGAGUGUGGCAGAGGGUAGUGGAAUUCCCGGUGUAGCAGUGAAAUGCGUAGAGAUCGGGAGGAACAUCUGUGGCGAAGGCGACUACCUGGACCAGCACUGACACUGAGGCACGAAAGCGUGGGGAGCAAACAGG
Molecule: ribosomal RNA, 253 nt
Filed under: uncultured bacterium
Lineage: Bacteria
Description: partial 16S ribosomal RNA
Rfam family: Bacterial small subunit ribosomal RNA
Source: RNAcentral